Molecule: transfer RNA, 69 nt
Filed under: Clibanarius infraspinatus
Lineage: Eukaryota; Metazoa; Arthropoda; Malacostraca; Decapoda; Diogenidae
Description: tRNA-Asn
Rfam family: tRNA
About the family: Transfer RNA (tRNA) molecules are approximately 80 nucleotides in length. Their secondary structure includes four short double-helical elements and three loops (D, anti-codon, and T loops).
Source: RNAcentral
UUGAUAGAAGCCAAAAUGGAGGCAAAUCACUGUUAACGAUUUAAUUGAAGUUUAAUCCUUCCUAUCAAG